RNAcentral lists this ribosomal RNA (582 nucleotides) under Hammondia hammondi. RNAcentral's name for it is "LSU rRNA". It matches the Rfam family "Eukaryotic large subunit ribosomal RNA", at positions 418 to 935 of the family's 3401-position model. Lineage: Eukaryota; Apicomplexa; Conoidasida; Eucoccidiorida; Sarcocystidae. The record is from RNAcentral.
CGCGAUUGGGACCUUUUUGAUUCCAAGAAGUGCCGCCGGUUUGCCAUCUAUCCCUUUGCCUUCUCUCUCUCACCAGGUUUAGGCUUUGGUUUCUUGAUGUAUUUCCGGUUCAUCUUUUUGGAGAGGUCAGCAUCAGCUACUCGGAAUGAUUUCGUUCAAAGAAGGUAGGUUCCUUGUGGACCGUAUAUCUUUGUUCUUUCCUUUUCCUUGUGGCUGAGGAGUGUUUCUGUUUCCGAGCUCCACUUUCGAGUACUCGGUUUCUGUGAUGCUGGCUUAAUCGGUUCCAACCGACCCGUCUUGAAACACGGACCAAGGAGUCUAACAUAUGUGCGAGUAUGCGGGUUUUACUCCUGUAUGCGCAAUGAAAGUGAGAGUAGGGAGAUUUUGGCUUUGCCAUUCUUCGCACCUACGACCGACCACGAUCUCUGAGAGAGGUUCGAGUUGGAGCAUAUCUGUUAGGACCCGAAAGAUGGUGAACUAUGCCUGAGUAGAAUGAAGUCAGGGGAAACCCUGAUGGAGGUUCGUAGCGAUACUGACGUGCAAAUCGUUCGUCAAACUUGGGUAUAGGGGCGAAAGACUAAC